RNAcentral lists this unclassified non-coding RNA (360 nucleotides) under Ascomycota sp. Its description in RNAcentral is "partial contains small subunit ribosomal RNA, internal transcribed spacer 1, and 5.8S ribosomal RNA". The stretch from base 1 to 47 matches the Rfam family "Eukaryotic small subunit ribosomal RNA", at positions 1785 to 1831 of the family's 1831-position model. The record is from RNAcentral. Lineage: Eukaryota; Fungi; Ascomycota.
AAAGUCGUAACAAGGUAUCCGUAGGUGAACCUGCGGAUGGAUCAUUAACGAUACGUGUUGUUUUCACAAACACACGUUCCUACCAACCAAACCUGUGCGAGGAGAGACGACCAUGCGAGUCAAACCGUGUGAGAGUCGCUCCGUUUCUUUCUAUUUCUUUUUCUUUACAAACCUUAAAACCCCAAUUCUUCGUUUUCGAAGGACUGAAACCACACUGUUUCAAAUCGAAAGUAAGCGUCGAUGUUGAUCGUUUCGUCUCUAUUAGACCUGUUACACAGGUCGAACGGACGUGUUUCAACCCGACUCUUCGAUUAGAUAUGAAAUCCUGUACAACUCUUAGCAACGGAUAUCUUGGUUCUC